AUUGAACGCUGGCGGCAUGCCUAACACAUGCAAGUCGAACGGUAACGACGGGAGCUUGCUCCCGGGCGACGAGUGGCGGACGGGUGAGUAAUACUUAGGAAUCUGCCCAGUAGUGGGGGACAACCAGGAGAAAUCCUGGCUAAUACCGCAUACGCACUAUGGUGGAAAGUGGGGGACCUUCGGGCCUCACGCUAUUGGAUGAGCCUAAGUCGGAUUAGCUAGUUGGUGAGGUAAUGGCUCACCAAGGCGACGAUCCGUAGCUGGUCUGAGAGGACGAUCAGCCACACUGGGACUGAGACACGGCCCAG
Molecule: ribosomal RNA, 308 nt
Filed under: uncultured bacterium
Lineage: Bacteria
Description: bacterial SSU rRNA
Rfam family: Bacterial small subunit ribosomal RNA
Source: RNAcentral